RNAcentral lists this ribosomal RNA (268 nucleotides) under uncultured Haemophilus sp. RNAcentral describes it as "partial 16S ribosomal RNA". It matches the Rfam family "Bacterial small subunit ribosomal RNA", at positions 71 to 339 of the family's 1533-position model. Lineage: Bacteria; Pseudomonadati; Pseudomonadota; Gammaproteobacteria; Pasteurellales; Pasteurellaceae. The record is from RNAcentral.
UAAAGAAGCUUGCUUCUUUGAUGACGAGUGGCGGACGGGUGAGUAAUGCUUGGGAAUCUGGCUUAUGGAGGGGGAUAACUACGGGAAACUGUAGCUAAUACCGCGUAGAAUCGGGAGAUGAAAGUGUGGGACCUUCGGGCCACAUGCCAUAGGAUGAGCCCAAGUGGGAUUAGGUAGUUGGUGAGGUAAAGGCUCACCAAGCCGACGAUCUCUAGCUGGUCUGAGAGGAUGAACGGCCACACUGGAACUGAGACACGGUCCAGACUCC